This 494-nucleotide ribosomal RNA is filed under the name uncultured bacterium. RNAcentral describes it as "partial 16S ribosomal RNA". It matches the Rfam family "Bacterial small subunit ribosomal RNA", at positions 28 to 507 of the family's 1533-position model. The record is from RNAcentral.
GACGAACGCUGGCGGCGUGCUUAACACAUGCAAGUCGAACGGAAAGGCCUGCUUUCCCUUGUGGAUUGCGGGUACUCGAGUGGCGAACGGGUGAGUAACACGUGAGUGAUCUGCCCCCAACUUGGGUAUAAGCCUGGGAAACUGGGUCUAAUUCCCGAUAGGACUGCAGGGUGGUGCCUGUGGUGGAAAACGAUUUUCUAGUGGUUGGGGAUGAGCUCGCGGCCUAUCAGCUUGUUGGUGGGGUAAUGGCCUACCAAGGCGGCGACGGGUAGCCGGCCUGGGAGGGUGGACGGCCAAAUUGGGACGGGGAUACGGCCCAGACUCCUACGGGAGGCAGCAGUGGGGAAUAUUGCACAAUGGGCGGAAGCCUGAUGCAGCGACGCCGCGUGGGGGAUGACGGCCUUCGGGUUGUAAACUCCUUUCGACCGCGAGGAAGCCACCUGGUUGGAAGGGUGGUGACGGUAGUGGUAGAAGAAGCACCGGCUAACUACGUG